This 1108-nucleotide transfer RNA is filed under the name Martinezella multihospitum. RNAcentral describes it as "Rhizobium multihospitium partial contains 16S ribosomal RNA, 16S-23S ribosomal RNA intergenic spacer, and 23S ribosomal RNA". The stretch from base 230 to 303 matches the Rfam family "tRNA". Lineage: Bacteria; Pseudomonadati; Pseudomonadota; Alphaproteobacteria; Hyphomicrobiales; Rhizobiaceae. The record is from RNAcentral.
UGGUAGACGAUCGGCUCAUGUCUUCGGACAUGCCCCGGUAUGAACCUUCCCGUGCUUUUUAUAACAAGAUCGGAUCAGUCAGAUCACGAUCGAACGCAAUACGUCACAGAGACUUCAAGUCCUGAUGAUAUGGCGAGCCUCGCCGUCCACGUUUCUCUUUCUUCAAGAAGACAAAGAACCGCGUCGAUCCGGAUAGCUUUUGGGUUGUCUGGACCGGUUUGACGAGAAUGGGCCCGUAGCUCAGUUGGUUAGAGCACACGCUUGAUAAGCGUGGGGUCGGAAGUUCAAGUCUUCCCGGGCCCACCAUGCUUCGCCUUUUGGCUACGCAUGGCGCAGCCGGGAAAGAACGGUGACGCGGAAGUUGCCGAACCCCGAAGAAGUUUGGGGCGAUCGAGCUGAUGGGGCUGUAGCUCAGCUGGGAGAGCACCUGCUUUGCAAGCAGGGGGUCAGCGGUUCGAUCCCGCUCAGCUCCACCAAAUCGAUUGGUGUCGAGACUGACGGUAAUUGUCUUCUGAAGAAAUAAAGGUUUUGCAUCGGCCUUAGGGCUGGAUGCGUGUUCUGCAUACAUUGUGAAGAGAAGAUUGAUCUGGAGGCUUCCAGGUGUUUUGAGCGACCGUAAGGUUGUUUGAGGCGUCCGAGCCCGGACCUUAUGAUAUCGUGGAUGGCCUAGCCGGCUGGAAACGAAGGAGGGGACGGAGGUAGGAAGGAAGCUUGUCGCUCUGGAUUGUCAUUGUUGGCCUUCUUUGAAGGCUUCUGAUGGACAAUCGGAUUACCGUUGCCUGACCGCGCGGUAUCGGAUCAAAUCUCGAGAAGCUGGUCUUAAGACAGGCUGCAAGCGAGCUGCUCGGCGUAGCUCCAAUAUCUCGCGAAAGCUUAUGGCUUUUGCGUAAAAGCAAGCCUGUCGAACACGUCGAUGGCAUUGUUGAAUAGGCUGGGUUGUAAAAGGUAACCUGGUCUGUUGUCGUUUCCGCUGGAAACGAGCAACUAGAUGAUGAGCAUUGGCAAUGAGAACGAUCAAGUGUCGUAAGGGUAUUUAGUGGAUGCCUAGGCAUGCACAGGCGAUGAAGGACGUGAUACGCUGCGAAAAGCCGUGGGAGCUGCGAAUAAG